ACAGGUGCGAGAUCUGCAAUGCAUUUGAGAUAUUUCUGAUGCCACAUUAGCUACAUUUCAAAGUCACGUUUACUAGUCGUUAUAAAUCUUUAGAAUGAUAGAUCUAGAAUUACUAGAUCUACAUGUAUUUUUAUUUUUAAAGGUUACUAAAUUCGUCGAGCUAUUUUUAUUAGCAGACGCGAAACCCGUCUUUUGUAGCAUUAUAAAUCCACUCUUCCAGACAACUGACCACAAUGCGAUCUUCUUGUAGAUAAAACUUAUUGGCAAAUAAAUGAAUACUUCUCAGCAUUAAAGGGAGGUCUCCUGCAGAAUAAAGAGACAAUAAAGGGCAAUAAAACACUUCAAAGCUAGAUCUAUAUUUAUUUUCAGAUCAACAAUGACAAUGGCUAAAGACCGUUAUAGUGAUGGGGAAGUGAAGAAACCCUUGGAAGCCGUUGGCAUUGAAGAAAAACUAGAAAUGUAUAUAAAGAAAAUGACACAAAUUAUUCACAUCUACGAACAUUAGGAAAUGCCAUUCAAAAUUUUAUUACCGGAUUUAUUAAUAAUAUUGUGUAGUUCAAUAGUAAAAAUAUUAUAAUAUU
Biomphalaria glabrata is the source of this 581-nucleotide long non-coding RNA. RefSeq lists it as uncharacterized. The record is from RefSeq and is a predicted model, not a curated record. NCBI's taxonomy places the organism in Eukaryota, Metazoa, Mollusca, Gastropoda, Planorbidae. The transcript is spliced from 2 exons.